UACGGAAGCAGCAGUGGGGAAUAUUGCACAAUGGGCGCAAGCCUGAUGCAGCCAUGCCGCGUGUAUGAAGAAGGCCUUCGGGUUGUAAAGUACUUUCAGUCGUGAGGAAGGUGUUAAGGUUAAUAACCUUAGCAAUUGACGUUAGCGACAGAAGAAGCACCGGCUAACUCCGUGCCAGCAGCCGCGGUAAUACGGAGGGUGCGAGCGUUAAUCGGAAUUACUGGGCGUAAAGGGCACGCAGGCGGUUAAUUAAGUUGGAUGUGAAAUCCCCGGGCUUAACCUGGGAAUGGCAUUCAAGACUGGUUAGCUAGAGUCUUGUAGAGGGGGUAGAAUUUUCAUGUGUAGCGGUGAAAUGCGUAGAGAUGUGGAGGAAUACCGGUGGCGAAGGCGGCCCCUGGACAAAGACUGACGCUCAUGUGCGAAAGCGUGGGGAGCAAAC
Molecule: ribosomal RNA, 439 nt
Filed under: uncultured bacterium
Lineage: Bacteria
Description: bacterial SSU rRNA
Rfam family: Bacterial small subunit ribosomal RNA
Source: RNAcentral